Molecule: non-coding RNA, 88 nt
Organism: Strongyloides stercoralis
Lineage: Eukaryota; Metazoa; Nematoda; Chromadorea; Rhabditida; Strongyloididae
Source: Rfam
CCAACCAUAGCUCAGUUGGUAGAGCGGAGGACUGUAGAUUUAACUUUCUGAUAUCCUUAGGUCACUGGUUCAAAUCCGGUUGGUUGGA